This 254-nucleotide ribosomal RNA is filed under the name uncultured bacterium. RNAcentral describes it as "partial 16S ribosomal RNA". It matches the Rfam family "Bacterial small subunit ribosomal RNA", at positions 524 to 776 of the family's 1533-position model. The record is from RNAcentral.
UACGAAGGGGGCUAGCGUUGCUCGGAAUCACUGGGCGUAAAGGGUGCGUAGGCGGGUCUUUAAGUCAGGGGUGAAAUCCUGGAGCUCAACUCCAGAACUGCCUUUGAUACUGAGGAUCUUGAGUUCGGGAGAGGUGAGUGGAACUGCGAGUGUAGAGGUGAAAUUCGUAGAUAUUCGCAAGAACACCAGUGGCGAAGGCGGCUCACUGGCCCGAUACUGACGCUGAUGGCACGAAAGCGUGGGGAGCAAACAGG